RNAcentral lists this ribosomal RNA (406 nucleotides) under uncultured bacterium. Its description in RNAcentral is "partial 16S ribosomal RNA". It matches the Rfam family "Bacterial small subunit ribosomal RNA", at positions 30 to 526 of the family's 1533-position model. The record is from RNAcentral.
AUUGAACGCUGGCGGCAGGCCUAACACAUGCAAGUCGAACGAGUGGCGGACGGGUGAGUAAUGUCUGGGAAACUGCCUGAUGGAGGGGGAUCACUACUGGAAACGGUAGCUACUACCGCAUACCAUCAGAUGUGCCCAGCUGGGAUUAGCUUGGUGGUGGGGUAACGGCUCACAAAGGCGACGAUCCCUAGCUGGUCUGAGAGGAUGAACAGCCACACGGGAACUGGUACACGCUCCCGACUCCUACGGAAGGCAGCAGUGGGGAAUAUUGCACAAUGGGCGCAAGCCUGAUGCAGCCAUGCCGCGUGUAUGAAGAAGGCCUUCGGGUUGUAAAGUACUUUCAGCGGGGAGGCGUUACCCGCAGAAGAAGCACCGGCUAACUCCGUGCCAGCAGCCGCGGUAAUUC